Agrilus planipennis (emerald ash borer) is the source of this 231-nucleotide non-coding RNA. Lineage: Eukaryota; Metazoa; Arthropoda; Insecta; Coleoptera; Buprestidae. The record is from Rfam.
AGGUAACUAAGCAACUUGAGUGAACUUAAUUAACCUUUAAAAACUAUAAAAAUAUCGUAUAUAUCGAAUAGUUUGGUGAAGCAGGACAAUCCCCUCCAGGAGAGUCCUAAAACGGCCUGAGGUAGAGGGGUUUUAGUCGGUAGGUCCGAGGACUUCUUCCUCGGGAAUCCGACACUACCCAGUCGUACGGACGGCUGGGUGUCUUCUGAAGAUUUCCCCUCUUCCACGAAA